AGUCGGACGAGAAAGCCCUUCGAGGUGAGUAGAGUGGCGCACGGGAGAGUAAUGCAUGGGAACGUACCUUUAGGAGGGGAAUAACCACGGGAAACUGUGGCUAAUACCGCAUAAUCUGGCAACAAUAAAGAUGGCCUCUACUUGUAAGCUAUCACCUAAAGAUCGGCCCAUGUCCCAUUAGCUAGUUGGCGGGGUAAUGGCCCACCAAGGCUACGAUGGGUAGCUGGUCUGAGAGGAUGAUCAGCCUCACUGGAACUGAGACACGGUCCAGACUCCUACGGGAGGCAGCAGUAGGGAAUUUUGCACAAUGGACGCAAGUCUGAUGCAGCAACGCCGCGUGUGUGAGGAAGGCCCUUGGGUCGUAAAGCACUUUCGGGCAUGAAGAAGGGUUUUAAGGUGAACAAUCUUAAGAUUUGACGGUAAUGCAAGAAGAAGCACCGGCUAACUCCGUGCCCGCAGCCGCGGUAAUACGGAGGGUGCAAGCGUUGUUCGGAAUUACUGGGCGUAAAGCGCGCGUAGGCGGGCUAGUAAGUCGAUUGUGAAAGCCCGGAGCUCAACUCCGGAAUUGCAGUCGAUACUGCUAGUCUUGAAUACUUGAGAGGAUGGCGGAAUUCCCGGUGUAGGAGUGAAAUCCGUAGAUAUCGGGAGGAACACCCGAGGCGAAGGCGGCCAUCUGGUGAUGUAUUGACGCUGAGGCGCGAAAGCGUGGGUAGCAAACAGGAUUAGAUACCCUGGUAGUCCACGCCGUAAACGAUGAUUACUAGGUGCUCGCAGUGUUAACCCUGUGGGUACCGUAGCUCACGCAUUAAGUAAUCCGCCUGGGGAGUACGGUCGCAAGGCUAAAACUCAAAGGAAUUGACGGGGGCCCGCACAAGCGGUGGAGUAUGUGGUUUAAUUCGAGGCAACGCGCAGAACCUUACCUGGUCUUAACAUUUACUGACAACCCUAGAGAUAGGGC
Molecule: ribosomal RNA, 958 nt
Filed under: uncultured bacterium
Lineage: Bacteria
Description: bacterial SSU rRNA
Rfam family: Bacterial small subunit ribosomal RNA
Source: RNAcentral